UUUAGGUUGCUUCUAGUGGGAGCUGGACUCUGAAGCUAUAGAUCACUUUUUGAGAAGUCCUAAAAAUAGCUUCUUCAUACCAAUUAAUUACUAAGCAAUCAAUUCACGAAUUCCUCUCUGUUUUGGAAGGUCACCUGAUUGGUAAGCAGCAGUGAUUUAGGCAGAUCAUUUCCUUUCAGUGGCUGGAGAACAUCAGAAUGGCAGAAGGAGCAGUUUCCUGCACACUACCUGCUGAUCUGCUGUUUCAGAUCGUGAAACAGGAGGUCCCUCUUUGCUGGCUGUAUGUAUUCAUAUUAACAUAUGUGGUAUUGCCUGGAACUUACACUGGACAGAAUUUGUUACUGCUCUGACGCAGGGCUGAACACACAUAGAGAGCUCUGCUCCAUUUUCAUCUUUUCUUACUUUACACAUACACUGACUGGGGCAAGUGACCUCACAAUCAUAACCUCACAAGUGGAACAGGAGGGGAAACAGGAAAAAGGAAUUUGUGAAAUCUGCCCAAACGGGUGGCUCAUGACAUUGUAUGACAUAACUAGCCAGGGACACCAAGGAGUGUGUUGGUUAUAAGACUGCCAGUGUAUAUUCUCAGAGCUCUGUGAGAUACUGAAAGCCCAACAGGGAGAUGCAGCUUUACACCACAGACUGAUUCGUGGCAGUUCAGAAACUCACAAACAUCCAAAUGCAAUCAAGAACUGUUACAGAGGCAUAGCACCAAGAGCAAUGCGACUGAUGAGCCAGUCCUCAAAAAGCUUUUAAAGAACAACAGUUCUAUCCACAGAAAUGUGUGCUAAUGCAGUCCUGGUGAAAACAGCAGUCUGCUACCUGAAGUUUCUCUUAAGAGUAAAAUGAAUGUUAGUUCUCAUUAGCUGAGCUUGGUUCGAGAGCUGGAAGAGUACCACUGCCAGAAUGAGCUGGAGACCAGUCAAAGACAGGAUAGAGCUGUGCAAUUAUCACAAGGGUAGGAAACGAGCAGGAAGAUGCUCCGAUGCAGAAAAGUAGUACCUGCUCCCUCCCCACUCUGAUUCCCCUUUCUUGUUAGGAUGAGUCUGAAGGACUACAUUUUGGGAAGAAUAGUAGAAUAGCUUAAAUAAAAAUACAAAAUUUCCUUCAAUAUAAUUGAAAAAC
Molecule: non-coding RNA, 1125 nt
Organism: Meleagris gallopavo (turkey)
Lineage: Eukaryota; Metazoa; Chordata; Aves; Galliformes; Phasianidae
Source: RefSeq, a predicted model, not a curated record